RNAcentral lists this transfer RNA (77 nucleotides) under Thioploca sp. RNAcentral's name for it is "tRNA-Met". It matches the Rfam family "tRNA". Rfam says of the family: Transfer RNA (tRNA) molecules are approximately 80 nucleotides in length. Lineage: Bacteria; Pseudomonadati; Pseudomonadota; Gammaproteobacteria; Thiotrichales; Thiotrichaceae. The record is from RNAcentral.
UGCGAGGUGGAGCAGUCUGGCAGCUCGUCGGGCUCAUAACCCGAAGGUCGGGGGUUCAAAUCCCUCCCUCGCUACUA